RNAcentral lists this ribosomal RNA (384 nucleotides) under uncultured bacterium. RNAcentral describes it as "bacterial SSU rRNA". It matches the Rfam family "Bacterial small subunit ribosomal RNA", at positions 28 to 414 of the family's 1533-position model. The record is from RNAcentral.
GACGAACGCUGGCGGCGUGCUUAACACAUGCAUGUCGAGCGGAAAGGCCCUUUCGGGGGUACUCGAGCGGCGAACGGGUGAGUAACACGUGAGUAAUCUGCCCUUGGCUUUGGGAUAACCACCGGAAACGGUGGCUAAUACCGGAUAUGACGGGCUCCGGCAUCGGGGUUCGUGGAAAGUUUUUUCGGCCAGGGAUGUGCUCGCGGCCUAUCAGCUUGUUGGUGGGGUAAUGGCCUACCAAGGCUUCGACGGGUAGCCGGCCUGAGAGGGUGACCGGCCACACUGGGACUGAGACACGGCCCAGACUCCUACGGGAGGCAGCAGUGGGGAAUAUUGGACAAUGGGCGGAAGCCUGAUCCAGCAACGCCGCGUGAGGGAUGACGG